UCCUCGAUAGCUCAGCGGCAGAGCGGCGGACUCUUAAUCCGCGCGCCGAGUGUUCGAUCCCAGGUCGCGCUG
This 72-nucleotide transfer RNA is filed under the name Candidatus Tremblaya princeps PCIT. RNAcentral's name for it is "tRNA-Lys". Lineage: Bacteria; Pseudomonadati; Pseudomonadota; Betaproteobacteria. The record is from RNAcentral.